GUCUUUUUGAAAUAAUUUAAAGUCUAAUCUGCCCACUGAUAAAAUUAAAGGGCUGCAGUAUAUUGACUGUACAAAGGUAGCAUAAUCAUUAGUUUUUUAAUUGGAAACUUGUAUGAAAGAUUUGAUGAAAUAUAAACUGUCUCUAAUUUAUAAAUUGAAAUUUAUUUUUUAGUAAAAAAGCUAAAAUAGAUUUAAAAGACGAGAAGACCCUAUAGAGUUUUAUAUUUAAUUUUAUUUGAAAAUUAUAUAAAAAUUAAUAUUUAAAUAGAAUUAAAUAUUAUAUUGGGGUGAUAGAAAAAUUAAAUUAACUUUUUUUAAAAAUUAAACAUAAAUAAAUGAUUAAAUGAUCCAUAAAUAAUGAUUAUAAGAAAAAAUUACCUUAGGGAUAACAGCGUAAUAUUUUUUUUUAGUUCAAAUAAGAAAAAAAGUUUGCGACCUCGAUGUUGGAUUAAGAUAAAAUUUAAAUGCAAAAGUUUAAAAUUUUGAUCUGUUCGAUCAUUAAAAUCUUACA
This 511-nucleotide ribosomal RNA is filed under the name Melanargia occitanica. Its description in RNAcentral is "partial 16S ribosomal RNA". The record is from RNAcentral. Lineage: Eukaryota; Metazoa; Arthropoda; Insecta; Lepidoptera; Nymphalidae.